This 71-nucleotide transfer RNA is filed under the name Enterococcus sp. PF1-24. RNAcentral describes it as "tRNA-Thr". It matches the Rfam family "tRNA". Rfam says of the family: Transfer RNA (tRNA) molecules are approximately 80 nucleotides in length. Their secondary structure includes four short double-helical elements and three loops (D, anti-codon, and T loops). RNAcentral also lists the same sequence under 1 other name. The record is from RNAcentral. Lineage: Bacteria; Bacillati; Bacillota; Bacilli; Lactobacillales; Enterococcaceae.
GCCGCUUUAGUUCAAUGGUAGAACGCAAGCAUGGUAAGCUUGAGAUGAGAGUUCAAUUCUCUCAAGUGGCU